RNAcentral lists this ribosomal RNA (245 nucleotides) under uncultured bacterium. Its description in RNAcentral is "partial small subunit ribosomal RNA". It matches the Rfam family "Bacterial small subunit ribosomal RNA", at positions 26 to 285 of the family's 1533-position model. The record is from RNAcentral.
AGAAUCAACGCUGGCGGCGUGCCUAACACAUGCAAGUCGCACGAGAAAGGGGAGCAAUCCCUGAGUACAGUGGCGCACGGGUGAGUAACACGUGAAUAAUCUACCUCCGAGUGGGGAAUAACUGAGAGAAAUCUUAGCUAAUACCGCAUAACACUUACGAGUCAAAGCAGCAAUGCGCUUGGAGAGGAGUUCGCGGUCGAUUAGUUAGUUGGCGGGGUAAUGGUUUAUCAAGACGAUGAUCGGUA